Molecule: long non-coding RNA, 223 nt
Filed under: Elaeis guineensis (African oil palm)
Lineage: Eukaryota; Viridiplantae; Streptophyta; Magnoliopsida; Arecales; Arecaceae
Description: long non-coding RNA (EGUI_LNC041377)
Source: RNAcentral
UGGCCCUCCUUACCACAGUGAUAGUAAGUACCUUUGGUAAAGAUCUUCUUCAUCUUUUUCUUAGAGAUGCCAGCCUUUGGGUUCAUCUUUUUCUUGGAACCCUUCUUUGUCUUCUUUUUAUUGAUCUUAUCGACAAGAAGAAUCAGAGCCUUUUCGCCCUUGAAAUGGCUCUCUGCUGUUUUCAACAUAUUGAGUAGCUCUAGCAGGCUAGUGUUCAGUUUGU